AGGAACAUGUGGUUUAAUUCGAUGCAACGCGAAAACCUUACCUACCCUUGACAUGUCCGGAAUCCUGCAGAGAUGCGGAGUGCCGAAAGGGAAUCGGAACACAGGUGGUGCAUGGUUGUCGUCAGCUCGUGUCGUGAGAUGUUGGGUUAAGUCCCGCAACGAGCGCAACCCUCGUCCUAUGUUGCCAGCGGGUCAUGCCGGGGACUCAUGGGAGACUGCCGGGGUCAACUCGGAGGAAGGUGGGGAUGACGUCAAAUCAUCAUGCCCCUUAUGUCUUGGGCUUCACGCAUGCUACAAUGGCCGGUACAAAGGGCUGCGAUACCGCGAGGUGGAGCGAAUCCCAGAAAGCCGGUCUCAGUUCGGAUUGGGGUCUGCAACUCGACCCCAUGAAGUCGGAGUCGCUAGUAAUCGCAGAUCAGCAACGCUGCGGUGAAUACGUUCCCGGGCCUU
RNAcentral lists this ribosomal RNA (450 nucleotides) under uncultured Cellulomonas sp. RNAcentral's name for it is "bacterial SSU rRNA". It matches the Rfam family "Bacterial small subunit ribosomal RNA", at positions 933 to 1382 of the family's 1533-position model. Lineage: Bacteria; Bacillati; Actinomycetota; Actinomycetes; Micrococcales; Cellulomonadaceae. The record is from RNAcentral.